This 500-nucleotide ribosomal RNA is filed under the name uncultured Glomeromycotina. Its description in RNAcentral is "partial small subunit ribosomal RNA". It matches the Rfam family "Eukaryotic small subunit ribosomal RNA", at positions 591 to 1092 of the family's 1831-position model. Lineage: Eukaryota; Fungi; Glomeromycota. The record is from RNAcentral.
CCAAUAGCGUAUAUUAAAGUUGUUGCAGUUAAAAAGCUCGUAGUUGAAUUUCGGGGUUAGUAGAUUGGUCAUGCCUCUGGUAUGCACUGGUCUCACUGAUUCCUCCUUCCUGAUGAGCCGUAAUGCCAUUAAUUUGGUGUUGCGGGGAAUUUGGACUGUUACUUUGAAAAAAUUAGAGUGUUUAAAGCAAGCUAACGCUUGAAUACAUUAGCAUGGAAUAAUGAAAUAGGACGUUCGAUCCUAUUUUGUUGGUUUCUAGGAUUGACGUAAUGAUUAAUAGGGAUAGUUGGGGGCAUUAGUAUUCAAUUGUCAGAGGUGAAAUUCUUGGAUUUAUUGAAGACUAACUACUGCGAAAGCAUUUGCCAAGGAUGUUUUCAUUAAUCAAGAACGAAAGUUAGGGGAUCGAAGACGAUCAGAUACUGUCGUAGUCUUAACCAUAAACUAUGCCGACUAGGGAUCGGAUGAUGUUAAUUUUUUAAUGACUCAUUCGGCGCCUUACG